Molecule: long non-coding RNA, 5035 nt
Organism: Acinonyx jubatus (cheetah)
Lineage: Eukaryota; Metazoa; Chordata; Mammalia; Carnivora; Felidae
Exons: 2
Source: RefSeq, a predicted model, not a curated record
GGAUUUGUUUUUAUGGUCCAUAAGCACAAAGGACAUCUUUUAGUAAAGGGUUCUUAUAGGAUCACUCAGAUGGAAGAAGAUUGAGUGUGAAAUAUGUCUGUAGAUUUUUCAUUAUUCAAAAUGGUUUCUCAGGAAAAAUAGGACCUACUUUGUUUUUUACUUUAAAUUGUGGUAAAAUAUACAUAACAUAAAAUUUACCAUGUUAGCCAUUUAGAAACAUAACAGUUCAAUGGCAUUAAGUACAUUUACAUCGUAGUACAACCAUCACACUGUCCAUCCCCUUAUUAAACUUGCCUUCCUUCUCUCUCUCUCCUUCCUUCAUAAUUUUCUUCUUCAUUUUCUUCUUUUUUUAAUUUGGAGGAAAGUGUAUCUGUGUGUUCUCCUUCCUUCUCUUUAUUCCUUGCAACUUUUUUUAAUUGCCAAUUUCUUUUCUUUUUUUUAUGGUAAAAAUAUGUAACGAAAUUUACCAUCAUAAUCAUGUUUAAGUGUAAAUUACAGUAUGUUAACUAAAUACGUUUGUUGUACAACAGAUCAUCAGAACUUUUUUAUCUUGUAAAACUUAAACUCUUUUACUAUUGAACAGCAACUGCUCGUUUUCCCCUUCCCUAGCCCCUGGUAAUCAAAUUUUACUUUCUGUUUCUCUGAGUUUGACAACUAUCAAUACCUCAUAUAAAUGGAAUCAUGCAAUAUUUGUCUUUUUGUGAUUGAUUUGUUUCACAUAGCAUAAGGUCCUCAAGGUGUUGCAGUGUCUGACAAGAUUUCCUAUUUUUAAAAGGCUGAGAAAUAGUCCACAUUUUCUUUAUCCAUUAAUUUAUCUGUGGACAUUUAGUUUGCUUCCACCUCUUGCUAUUAUGAAUAAUGCUGCAAUGAACAUUCGUGUGCAGAUAUGUCUUUGAGAUCCUAUUUUCAAUUCUUUUGGAUAUAUACCCAGAAGUAGGAUUGCUGGAUCUUAUGGUAAUUCUAUUUUUAAUUUUUUAAUGAGCCUCCCUACUGUUUCCCAUAGUGGCUGUACCAUUUUACAUUCCCAUCAACAGUGCACAUGGGUUCUAAUUUUUCCACAUCCUCACUAACAUGCUGUUUUUUAAGUUUUUUAGAUAAUAGUCAAUGGGUGGGAGAUGAUAAUCUCAUUGUGGUUUGAUUUGCAUUUUCCUAAUGAUUAGUGAUGUGGAGCAUCUUUUCAUGUAUCUGUUGGCCGUCUGUAUGUCAUCUUUGGAGAAAUGUCUGUUCAAGUCCUUUGCUCAUUUUUUAAUCAGGUUGUUUUUGGGUUUUUUUUGGUCACUGAGUUAUAGGAGUUCUUUAUGGAUUCUAAAUGUUAACUCUGAAUGUUAACAGAUAAAUGAUCUGUAAAUAUUUUCUCCCAUUCUGUAGGUAGCUUUUUUUACUCUGUUGAUUCUUAGAAAACUCUGGUAGAUCAGAAAGAAGAAAUAAAGUCCUUUCCUAAAUAUUCUUAUUUCACUACUGCUUUUAAGUCUUGUAUAGAACAGACCAUUUGUCCAGUGUUGGGUUACUUUCUUCAUACAACCUACAGGUAAAAUAAAAUUUCAUUAGUAGUAAUAUUAAUAGCUGAAGUGUAUUUUUUUAAUAGCUAAAGUAUAUUUAUGUACUGUGUGCCAGACAUUGUUCUAAGCAUUUUGCAUAUAGUAACAUUUAAUUCUCAGAACUGCUUAUAAAAUAGCUAUUACUAUUACCUCUGUUUUGUAGAUAAAGAGAAGCACAGAGAAAUUAAAGAACUUGUCUAAUCUUACAGAUAUAAAGAUUUUAGCUAUUCUACUGUCAACCUAAUCUGAUGCCUCCUGUGCAUAAUGAUGAGAGUGAGUCUGUUGGUGAUAAUGCCUAAAACUAAGAUAGUAAACUUACAUUAUUUGAGGUGGCUGGCUGGCUUAGUCGGUAGAAUAUGAGACUCUUGAUCUUGGGGUCAUGAGUUCAAGUCCCACACUGCAGGUAGAGAUUACUUAAAAAAAUAAACAUAUUAUUCAACUUCCCAUCAUUGUAACAGAAUUUGUACACAACAUAGAAUUCUGUAUAUUCACUUUUACCAAAACUGAAUGAAUUAUCUCUGCAGCUACUACUGAGUUCUUGAUAUCAUUCUUCUAUUAAUCAGGCUUGGAACUUUUCCUUUGACCUCUUGUAUUCAUUCCUUAGGUCCAGAUAUUGCUCUCUUGAUAAAUCUCUUGGAUUUAAUUCUUCUUUUUACAUUGUGGUUACUCUGCCUAAUUUUUCAUCUUUCACACUGAGCUGUUAUAUGAUAGCAUGUCUAUUGCUUAUCUAUUCCCCCUCCAAUCUAUACUGCAUACUCUAGAUUAAUCUUCCUAAAAUAGACCUUUGAUUAUGUCACUCAUAAAUCCAUUCUUUGGAUUUAAUUAGUGUCAUCAUUCCUGUUUAGUUUUCUCUACCAUCUGUACUCCUGCCUUUGAAUUUUUUCCCUUAUGACUUUCCACUUUCUUGACUGAAUCCCAACCAUUCAUCUAGUUAGUUCCUUCCUUCCCUAAGUAAUUGAUAAUUUAUUAUUUUAAAAUUGUAUAUGUACAAGGUUUAAAAGAAAACCACCUGUUCAGAAAAGAUCCCCCAAAUAUAAGCUUCUUGGGGACAGACUGUCUAGUUCCCAGGUAUGUUUUUAGUGCCUAGAAUGGUGCCUGACAAAUAGAAAGCGUUCACUAUAUAUUUAUCUUUGGAAUGAGAAGUGAACGUCUUCCUCCUCCCCAUUCACCCUCCUCUACUUACUAGUAUUGGAGUAUUAUAAAGACAAUAAAUAACACUCUUUUCUUCCCCAUAUGAGUUUAAAACCAAAUAAGGGAGAUGGAGAAUCAAAAUAUCAGCUUUAGUGCUGCCAUAAGCUCGAUUGGAGGCUAUAGUUUAGAUGUGUUCAACCAUAAUGUACCUUUUAACAAACUAGAACAUAGACUGUGAGAGCUGUGCUGUUUUGUUUGCUUCUAUAUUUUCAGUUUCUGAUUUGAUGACUUUUUUUUUUUUAGCUUCACCCGUGCAUUAGGCAGCCUUACUAACCUAGUUACAGGCAAGUCCAAGUACUGGAGGGCUUUCUUUAAAGGUGCUGGCAGCUUAUCUAUAUGCACUAUUGCUUUAUGAAGAAAGGUACAAAAAGAAGCCGUGAAGAGCUGAUGUGAGCAUGUUGCAUUUCUUUCCUGAAGAAAAUCAGUCAGUUCUCUUCCAGGAGAGUGCGAAGGACAGAAGAGGCUGGAAGUGUUCUUCCUCUGCUAGUUCCUCUUACAGAAUGCAAGAAAAAUGCCCUCUCUGUGGACAUGAGGGGUAGAAUUCAGUGUCCCCCUCAAAUAUCUUUAGGUUGCCAUUGAAGUUUUAGAAGUUAGGGUUAUUUUUGUGAUUAUCUUUAUAAGUGUAAAUAAUAUACCUAAAUGUCCAUGUCUUGAUAUAUCAACUUCAUAUGGUAUUAAUUAAAACUCUUCUGUGCAGUAUUAAAUUCGUACAUUUACACUUCCUUCCAAUUUUUCCAAUUUCUUAUUUCUACCAAUUUUGGUAAAUUACAGUAUUUUUAUAUUGUUAAGACUUUAAAAAUAUUUUUAUUGUGUUCAAUAUCCAUAUUUGUUUUGGUUGAUUUGAAAAAAUGAUGACUAACAGGCAGCACUUACCAUUAUUGCAAUUAAGUGACAUUAUAUUAUUACAUAGAACCAAGUAAAUGGGUAAAUCCUCUUGUGAAACCCAGUUUAGGUCUUGGUUUUGGAGGGUGCAGUUUCAUCAACUCCCCUAAAAUUUGGGGAAACCUAGCAGUUUUGCCUUUCUGUAAAGUUCCAUAUCCUGUGUGGUAUUACCUGCACCACAUUUAGAACCUACAAGUGCCUAUUGUUUCAGUUGUAUUUUCAUGUUAAAUUCCAUAAAGAUAGUGGUUUAUGUUUUCUUGGUAUUUCCUAGAGUGCGUGACAUAACAAAAACUUUGAACAUAGUAAACAUUUAAAAAGAUAAGCUUAUGGGGGCACCAUGGGUGGCUCAGUUGGUUAAGGGCCCGACUUCAGCUCAGGUCAUGACCUUGUGAUUCAUGAGUUCGAGCCCUGCAUCAGGCUCUGUGCUGACAGCUCAGAGCCUGGAGCUUGCUCGGAUUCUGUGUCCCCCUAUUAUCUCUCUGCCUCUACCCCAUUCUCACUCUGUCUCUCUCUCUCAAAAAUAUAUAAACAUUAAAAAAAAUAAGUUUAUGUAAAAACCAUAAUCCUUAUACAAAAAUUACUGAGUAUGAAGGAUGAAGUUUGGUUCUGUGCUUCCUUCCUUACCUAUAUUUAUUUGUAUAAAUAAAUCAGAUAUUAACUGUAUAUUUGCUAUAUACAAGGUAUUGUAGGUACUGUAGGAGAUACAAGACUCAGUAGAUACAGAACCACAGAACCUUCCUUGGAAGUAUAGGAGAGGCAGAACUUUGCAUCUACCCUCCUAGGAUUUUCACCUGGGCCUGAGAAUUAAAUUGACAAGACAAAUUAACAGGAGAAAAGCAUACAAAUUUUUAUGUAUACCUGGGCCCUCAUUGGGAAAUGAAGAUGCAAACAAAUGGCAAAACCUAAGUGCUUAUAUACUAGGUUGAACAAAAAAUGGCAGUUGUACCUAAAAUAUUUAGAGAGACUAAAGGGAGAUAAUUAUCAUUUAACAAGUCUCUUUGUAUAUAUUUCUCUCAGCCUGACUCCCACCUCUGGUGAUAAGAAUGUUUCUUUCCCCCUGGAAUAGACAGGGCAACUCUCACAUGGGAGUUUCAUCUCCUGCUUUUAGGAAGAAAAGAGGAAGUCAGAGGCACCUGGAUGGCUCAGCCAGUUAAGCGUCCAACUCUUGAUAUCAGCUCAAGUCAUGAUCUUGUGGUUUGUGAGUUCCAACCCCCGAGUCAGGGUCCACGCUGACAGUGCAGAAUCUGCUUGGGAUCCUCUCUCUCUCUCCCUCUCCCUCUCCCUCUCCCUCUCCCUCUCCCUGUCUCUGUCCCUCUCUCUCCUCCCCCCCUCCAUCUCUGUCUCUGUCUCUGUCUCUGUCUCUCUCUCUCUUUCUCUCUCUCUGUCCCUCCCCAGCUCAUUCUCUUUUUCUCUCUCUCUCUCUC